GCUUCCGUCGUCUAGCGGCAAAGACGCCGGGCUUUCAAUCCGGAGAUGGGAGUUCGAUUCUCCCCGGAAGCA
This 72-nucleotide transfer RNA is filed under the name Myxococcales bacterium. RNAcentral's name for it is "tRNA-Glu". It matches the Rfam family "tRNA". Rfam says of the family: Transfer RNA (tRNA) molecules are approximately 80 nucleotides in length. Their secondary structure includes four short double-helical elements and three loops (D, anti-codon, and T loops). The record is from RNAcentral. Lineage: Bacteria; Pseudomonadati; Myxococcota; Myxococcia; Myxococcales.